CGCUGUCACUCCUACGGGAGGCAGCAGUGGGGAAUAUUGCACAAUGGGCGCAAGCCUGAUGCAGCCAUGCCGCGUGUGUGAAGAAGGCCUUCGGGUUGUAAAGCACUUUCAGUCGUGAGGAAGGUAGUGUAGUUAAUAGCUGCAUUAUUUGACGUUAGCGACAGAAGAAGCACCGGCUAACUCCGUGCCAGCAGCCGCGGUAAUACGGAGGGUGCGAGCGUUAAUCGGAAUUACUGGGCGUAAAGCGCAUGCAGGCGGCCUGUUAAGUCAGAUGUGAAAGCCCGGGGCUUAACCUCGGAAUUGCAUUUGAAACUGGCAGGCUAGAGUCUUGUAGAGGGGGUAGAAUUUCAGGUGUAGCGGUGAAAAUGCGUAGAGAUCUGAAGGAAUACCAGUGGCGAAGGCGGCCCCCUGGACAAAGACUGACGCUCAGAUGCGAAAAGCGUGGGGAGCAAACAGGAUUAGAUACCCUGGUAG
This 474-nucleotide ribosomal RNA is filed under the name uncultured bacterium. RNAcentral describes it as "bacterial SSU rRNA". It matches the Rfam family "Bacterial small subunit ribosomal RNA", at positions 328 to 793 of the family's 1533-position model. The record is from RNAcentral.